UACCUCAGUAACGGCGAGUGAAGCGGUAACAGCUCAAAUUUGAAAGCUAGCUCUUUUAGGGUUCGCAUUGUAAUUUGUAGAAGAUGCUUCGGGUGUGGCCCCGGUCUAAGUUCCUUGGAACAGGACGUCAUAGAGGGUGAGAAUCCCGUAUGUGACUGGGUGCUUUCGCUCAUGUGAAGCUCUUUCGACGAGUCGAGUUGUUUGGGAAUGCAGCUCAAAAUGGGUGGUAAAUUUCAUCUAAAGCUAAAUAUUGGCCAGAGACCGAUAGCGCACAAGUAGAGUGAUCGAAAGAUGAAAAGCACUUUGGAAAGAGAGUUAAACAGUACGUGAAAUUGUUGAAAGGGAAGCGCUUGCAACCAGACUUGCGCGCUGAUGAUCAUCCGGGCUUCUGUCCGGUGCACUCGUCUGCGCUCAGGCCAGCAUCGGUUUCGGUGGUGGGAUAAAGGCCUUGGGAAUGUAGCUCCUCUCGGGGAGUGUUAUAGCCCUCGGUGCAAUGCCGCCUACCGGGACCGAGGACCGCGCUUCGGCUAGGAUGCUGGCGUAAUGGUUGUAAGCGACCCGUCUUGAAACACGGACCAAGGAGUCUAACAUCUAUGCGAGUGUUUGGGUGUCAAACCCAUACGCGUAAUGAAAGUGAACGGAGGUGAGAACCCUUAAGGGUGCAUCAUCGACCGGUCCUGAUGUCUUCGGAUGGAUCUGAGUAAGAGCAUAGCUGUUGGGACCCGAAAGAUGGUGAACUAUGCGUGAAUAGGGUGAAGCCAGAGGAAACUCUGGUGGAGGCUCGCAGCGGUUCUGACGUGCAAAUCGAUCGUCAAA
Molecule: ribosomal RNA, 816 nt
Filed under: Oculimacula acuformis
Lineage: Eukaryota; Fungi; Ascomycota; Leotiomycetes; Helotiales; Ploettnerulaceae
Description: partial large subunit ribosomal RNA
Rfam family: Eukaryotic large subunit ribosomal RNA
Source: RNAcentral